This 405-nucleotide unclassified non-coding RNA is filed under the name soil metagenome. RNAcentral describes it as "partial contains 5.8S ribosomal RNA, internal transcribed spacer 2, and large subunit ribosomal RNA". The stretch from base 1 to 121 matches the Rfam family "5.8S ribosomal RNA", at positions 35 to 154 of the family's 154-position model. The record is from RNAcentral.
GAUGAAGAACGCAGCGAAAUGCGAUAAGUAAUGUGAAUUGCAGAAUUCAGUGAAUCAUCGAAUCUUUGAACGCACCUUGCGCCCUUUGGCAAUUCCGAAGGGCAUGCCUGUUUGAGUAUCAUGAACACCUCAACUCUUUAUGGUUUUCCAUGAUGAGCUUGGACUCUGGGGGUUUUGCUGGCUCACAGUCGGCUCCUCUAAAAUGAAUCAGCUUACCAGUGUUUGGUGGGUAUCAUGGGUGUGAUAACUAUCUACGCUUGUGGUUUUUCCACCAGGUAACCUUCAGCAGUGGAGGUUCGCUGGAGCUCAUAGAUGUCUCUCCUCAGUGAGGACAGCCCUUUGAAUGUUUGAUCUCAAAUCAGGUAGGACUACCCGCUGAACUUAAGCAUAUCAAUAAGCGGAGGA